Molecule: ribosomal RNA, 302 nt
Filed under: uncultured bacterium
Lineage: Bacteria
Description: bacterial SSU rRNA
Rfam family: Bacterial small subunit ribosomal RNA
Source: RNAcentral
GAUGAACGCUAGCGGCAGGCUUAAUACAUGCAAGUCGAGGGGCAGCAUAAGUAGCAAUACUUGAUGGCGACCGGCAAACGGGUGCGGAACACGUACGCAACCUUCCUUUAAGUGGGGAAUAGCCCGGGGAAACCCGGAUUAAUACCCCGUAAUAUUAUGAUGUGGCAUCACAUUAUAAUUAUAGAUUCAUCGACUUAAAGAUGGGCGUGCGCCUGAUUAGGUAGUUGGCGGAGUAANAGCCCACCAAGCCUGCGAUCAGUAACUGGUGUGAGAGCACGACCAGUCACACGGGCACUGAGACA